GGUUUUCUGCGAAAUGCAGCACAGUGGCCACCCGCGGGGCGGAGCGCAAAUGGCCGUGUCCUUGCGGGAUAGGAAAGGAGGUGCCGGAAACUUUGAACCCCUGCCAGAGUACAACGUGUCCACUUAGACGGCGGUGCUGCGGGUACAGCUGUGAACAGAAGUGACGAAGUCCCUCAGAGCAUCUAAACUAGUAGAGAGACAGACCCACACACCGCAAUGUCAGAAGCCGACAGGUACUCUGAAGAAAAGUCACAGUAAGAAGAGUGACAAGACAGUCCUUGUAGAGGACCUCCCUGGGAAGGCACUGUGUGAACAAAGAUCUGAACGAGCGAGGUGAUAUCCCAGAGUCCCUUCCUGUGCUCCCCCUUCCUUCCCUCAGGGACCUGCCAGCCCUCUGGGCCCGGUUAGAUUGGGGGCUGCAGUGCCACGUGCAGCUGCCAAAGCACUCCUGAGGCAAAGCAACGAACAAGCAGCAUCGCUUUCUCUUCCCUGGUCCGCACAGUCGCCAUCCUCCACAUCCCAUGAGCACAGCAUUUGUACCUGCCAGGUCCACGUGUCUGUCUCUCGCACAAGACUGGUUAUUCUCAGAUUUUAAUGUGCUGAAGAAUCGCUUGGGGUGCUAACUGAACAAAUUUAGAUUCAAGGGGCCACUCUUUAAACGUUCCGAAUGUGUCGAGCUGCGCCCAGGCACCAGCUUAUGUAGGCAAGGGCCAGGUCAUUCCAACGCAAGUGGUGGGGGAGCCUGGCCUCGAAGACACGGUCAUCGGCAAUAAGCUCCUCAAGGGGCAAGGUCUGAACUGGCCUGUUUCUGUCCCCAGAACGCAGAGCAUUUGGUGAGCAGUCAAUAAAUAACCAAGAGAAGCAUCCGCCUCAUCGGACACUGACCCUUGUUCUGCUUACAGCGAACACCCCUUCAGGUGGUCACCUUCUCUUCCUUCCCAAGAUUCAACUUCUGGAGGCCAGAGACCCCACUUUGCAUUUCUUCUGUGGGCCUAGCAGUAUUUUUUCGGAGUAAAUAACAAGAGACCUUCAGGAAAUACUUACUGAGACAAAGAAUAAAUGAGAGGAAGGGAGGAA
Leopardus geoffroyi (Geoffroy's cat) is the source of this 1077-nucleotide long non-coding RNA. RefSeq lists it as uncharacterized. The record is from RefSeq and is a predicted model, not a curated record. NCBI's taxonomy places the organism in Eukaryota, Metazoa, Chordata, Mammalia, Carnivora, Felidae. The transcript has 2 exons.